GACGAACGCUGGCGGCGUGCUUAACACAUGCAAGUCGAACGAAGAGCGAUGGAAGCUUGCUUCUAUCAAUCUUAGUGGCGAACGGGUGAGUAACGCGUAAUCAACCUGCCCUUCAGAGGGGGACAACAGUUGGAAGCGACUGCUAAUACCGCAUACGAUCUAAUCUCGGCAUCGAGGAUAGAUGAAAGGUGGCCUCUACAUGUAAGCUAUCACUGAAGGAGGGGAUUGCGUCUGAUUAGCUAGUUGGAGGGGUAACGGCCCACCAAGGCGAUGAUCAGUAGCCGGUCUGAGAGGAUGAACGGCCACAUUGGGACUGAGACACGGCCCAGACUCCUACGGGAGGCAGCAGUGGGGAAUCUUCCGCAAUGGACGAAAGUCUGACGGGGCAACGCCGCGUGAGUGAUGACGGCCUUCGGGUUGUAAGGCUCUGUUAAUCGGGACGAAAGGCCUUCUUGCGAAUAGUGAGAAGGAUUGACGGUACCGGAAUAGAAAGCCACGGCUAACUACGUG
RNAcentral lists this ribosomal RNA (510 nucleotides) under uncultured bacterium. RNAcentral describes it as "partial 16S ribosomal RNA". It matches the Rfam family "Bacterial small subunit ribosomal RNA", at positions 28 to 507 of the family's 1533-position model. The record is from RNAcentral.